UUCUAAAGUUCUCUUCCCGAUCUAGGAGAUGCACAUGACGUCCACCUUCGAGAGACGCUCCCCUAAGGGGCGGUGAGCUCUUCAUCGGCAGGGGUACCCUCAUCGCACAGUCAGCUAGGAAUGCACUAGUGCGGGACUACAGACGCUUGAGAAAGCAUUGAAGAAAAAGGGCAGCAGGCUGGUGGCGGCCGUAGCGACGGUGAAAUCUCCGGAGAAUGAGGUGGUGGACAACCUACUCCACAUGAAUGCAGAGUGGGGUUGUACGAGAUGUGCAAAUAACUAACAAAGGAUAUCAAAAUUGAUGUGAAUAUUAAAAGCUAAUCCCAGGGACGGGAUUCAAGGAGGGGCUCCCCCCCCCUUUUGUAAAGUUCUCUUCCCGAGCUAGGAGAUGGACAUGACGUCGACCUCCGGGAGACGCUCCCCCAAGGGGCGGUGAGCUCUUCAUCGGCGGGGAUACCCUCAUCGCGCAGUCAGCUAGGCACGCACUAGCGCUGGAGAUCAUUGGAAAAUUAGAGAUGAGCAAUGUGUUGGGACUACAGAGGAUUUGCUUUCACUUAUUUCUCUACAUAUUUUAUAAAGUGCCUUGUAGCAACUAACCAAAGAUCCGUUAACAUUUGCGUGUAGAGCUUGAGAAAACAUUGAAGAAAAAGGGCAGCAGCCUGGUGGUGGCCAUGGUGGCAGUGAAGUCUCCGGAGAAGUAGGCGGCGGACAACCUCCUCCACAUGAUGAAGAGUGGGGGCUGUACGAGAUGUGCAAAUACCUAACAAAGAAUAUCAAAAUUGAUGUGAAUAUUAAAGGCUAAUCCCAGGUUAUGGGGCGAAACCAGAGGAGAAGCAAUAUAUUAUGUUGUUAAGUAAGCUUACAAAAAGUUUAGGAAAAAGUGAGCCAACGAGUUGUUUAGGAGGCAAAAAUAGAAUUUGUUUGUCUUCUUUUGUUACUCGACACUUAAUCAUGUGUAUAUGUGACUAAGAAUUUUUCAUGUUUUCCAUCUUUCCUUCAGAUUCGCGCCAAAUAGCAGAAAUUCUGUUUAACGCUACUUGUGAGAGAGUGACCGCUCUACAUCUUACUUCUGAAAAUGCAAGACUCCAAAUUGCAGAACUUCUAUUGGCAAAGCGAGCUGAGGCCGACACCACUUUUCAGAGAGAGAUUGCUUUAGUUUUUGCUUCUGAAAAUGCAACUGUAAGAGU
Molecule: long non-coding RNA, 1187 nt
Organism: Brachypodium distachyon (stiff brome)
Lineage: Eukaryota; Viridiplantae; Streptophyta; Magnoliopsida; Poales; Poaceae
Exons: 3
Source: RefSeq, a predicted model, not a curated record